UUCUGGUUGAUCCCGCCAGACCCGACUGCUAUUUGGGUGAGAAUAAGCCAUGCGAGUUGAAUGGGAUACCUAAAGUUCCCAUAGCAAACUGCUCAGUAACACAUGAUCAACUUACCCUAUAGAGAAAAAUAACCCCGGGAAACUGAGGAUAAUGUUUCAUAAUUGAAUUGGCUUGGAAAAGUUUUUCAAUGAAAAGGAUAAAAAAAAUGGUUUUUAUCUGCUAUAGGAUAGGAUCGUGUUCGAUUAUGGUUGUUGGUGAGAUAAUGGCUCACCAAGCCGAUAAUCGAUAGGGGCCGUGAGAGCGGGAGCCCCGAGAUGGGUACUGAGACAACGACCCAGGCCUUACGAGGCGCAGCAGGCGCGGAACCUCCGCAAUACACGAAAGUGUGACGGGGUUACCCAAAGUGUUCAAUAGAACUGUGGUAGGUGAGUAAUGUCCCCUACUAGAAAGGAGAGGGCAAGGCUGGUGCCAGCCGCCGCGGUAAAACCAGCUCUUCAAGUGGUCGGGAUAAUUAUUGGGCUUAAAGUGUCCGUAGCCGGUUUAGUAAGUUCCUGGUAAAAUCGGGUAGCUUAACUAUCUGCAUGCUAGGAAUACUGCUAUACUAGAGGGCGGGAGAGGUCUGAGGUACUACAGGGGUAGGGGUGAAAUCUUAUAAUCCUUGUAGGACCACCAGUGGCGAAGGCGUCAGACUGGAACGCGCCUGACGGUGAGGGACGAAAGCCAGGGGAGCGAACCGGAUUAGAUACCCGGGUAGUCCUGGCCGUAAACGAUGCAUACUAGGUGAUGGUACGGCCAUGAGCCGUAUCAGUGCCGUAGGGAAACCGUUAAGUGUGCCGCCUGGGAAGUACGGUCGCAAGGCUAAAACUUAAAGGAAUUGGCGGGGGAGCACCACAAGGGGUGAAGCCUGCGGUUCAAUUGGAAUCAACGCCGGA
RNAcentral lists this ribosomal RNA (933 nucleotides) under uncultured crenarchaeote. RNAcentral describes it as "SSU rRNA". It matches the Rfam family "Archaeal small subunit ribosomal RNA", at positions 1 to 922 of the family's 1478-position model. The record is from RNAcentral. Lineage: Archaea; Thermoproteati; Thermoproteota.